UACGGAGGGUGCGAGCGUUGUCCGGAAUCACUGGGCGUAAAGGGCGCGUAGGCGGCCGUGUAAGUCACUUGUGAAAUCCCGGGGCUCAACUCCGGGGCUGCAGGUGAGACUGCAUGGCUAGAGCUUGGUAGAGGCGAGUGGAAUUCCCGGUGUAGCGGUGGAAUGCGUAGAUAUCGGGAGGAACACCUGUGGCGAAAGCGGCGCACUGGACCAUAACUGACGCUGAGGCGCGAAAGCUAGGGGAGCAAACAGG
RNAcentral lists this ribosomal RNA (253 nucleotides) under uncultured bacterium. RNAcentral describes it as "partial 16S ribosomal RNA". It matches the Rfam family "Bacterial small subunit ribosomal RNA", at positions 524 to 776 of the family's 1533-position model. The record is from RNAcentral.